CGGUAAUCAUUUUUCUCUAUGGGCAUUCAAAUGUUCUACUCUACAAUGGACGUGUUUAUAUAAUAUGGUGCUAAAUAGAUGAAACAUUCACUAAUGGAUGGUCUUAGCUCUCCUAAGUUGCUCUCAAGUCAUGAGCCAAAAUCCAAUAAAUUAUGUUCGUGUUUGAAUUUGUGGUGAAAUUGGUAGAUUUACGGUGAAUCAUUGUAAUUUUCAAAAAGCAAAAUUAUAUUUGGGAUUUAAACAAAUUACGAUAGUAUUAUGAUUUUGUUACUUAAAUUCAUCAUUUAAAGAUAAAAAGAAAUACACUAUGGGUUUAUUUAGUGAAAUCGAUUUGUUCAAACUCAAAUAUAGUUU
Molecule: long non-coding RNA, 354 nt
Filed under: Medicago truncatula (barrel medic)
Lineage: Eukaryota; Viridiplantae; Streptophyta; Magnoliopsida; Fabales; Fabaceae
Description: lncRNA gene5216
Source: RNAcentral